GGGCAAAACGGGGUUACAGGAAGGUGAAGAGUAGACAGAGACUUCCUUUUCCAACAGUAUUGGCAGAGUAAAUAUCCUGAAAAUCUAUCCUGCUACAAAGCACCUAAAAGUAGUAGAUACAAAAUGAAAAACACAUUUAAAUGCAUGCCUGUGUUGGAAAGAGUAAGGGAAACCAUUGGAGUUAUCAGAGGCUAAAUGUUCUGGGAAGGACCAAUUCAGAGAAUUGUAAGCAGUGAAAUCAUCUAUGAAUUCCAGGGGCCUGGGGCUUCAGUUGUGACACAGAUCAACUCAGGAGCUUCUAAAAUAUAUAUUUCAGAAAUAAGGAAAAUGCUUUCAGAAAAACUGAGUUCAAGAAGAAAGGGUGAGCGAAAAUAAAGUGGUAAAUGUCACAAUGAUGCAAGAGGUGGGUUCCGACGGCCUUGGGCAGCUCCGCCCCUAUGGAUUUGCAAGCUCCUGGAAAGAAGUCUAUGGAUUAUACUCAACCUACACUCCAGUUAAAGGAACAUCUACACACAGAGGAAAUGAAUAACAUGAAGUGAAGUCUUCAUCUCCAUUCCCAACAGUCCCCAUUCUACUUGCAGAAAGGUUGCUUACACUGAAAAUCAGUUUAUUUUCCCCUGGUGCAAAGAACAGUCGUUUCUCCAAAACUGAAGCUGGAAAUUAUCUGAAAUAUCAGGUCCUCCGGAAAAGGGACGUGAAGCCCCCUUUGUAAUUUCUGCAUUAGCGUGCUCUCCUGGCAAGCAGGAAACCUCAUCAGAGAAGUCAGCCAAGGAAAGUCUUUAAAUGGAAAUUGUGCAAACGAGGAGCAAAUGCAUUAAAAAGUUGCUGACGGGCAUGAAAUGCUUUGAUGUGAAGACGGAAAACUCCAAGCAGGAAGGAUUUUAACAUUUUGAAUCUGAUUGACUCUGUGGUUUCUCAGCACAGUUAUUCCAUGGGCUAAAAUAAAUGCAGAAAUGGUACUUUCAGACCACA
This is a long non-coding RNA of Homo sapiens (human), 972 nucleotides long. Ensembl annotates it as long intergenic non-protein coding RNA 2888. The record is from Ensembl. Lineage: Eukaryota; Metazoa; Chordata; Mammalia; Primates; Hominidae.